UACGGGGGGGGCAAGCGUUGUUCGGAAUUACUGGGCGUAAAGGGCGCGUAGGCGGGCGGGCAAGUCCCUCGUGAAAGCCCACGGCUCAACCGUGGAAUUGCGGGGGAAACUGCUCGUCUUGAGUCCGGGAGAGGAGUGUGGAAUUCCCAGUGUAGCGGUGAAAUGCGUAGAUAUUGGGAGGAACACCGGUGGCGAAGGCGGCACUCUGGACCGGUACUGACGCUGAGGCGCGAAAGCUAGGGGAGCAAACGGG
RNAcentral lists this ribosomal RNA (253 nucleotides) under uncultured bacterium. RNAcentral's name for it is "partial 16S ribosomal RNA". It matches the Rfam family "Bacterial small subunit ribosomal RNA", at positions 524 to 776 of the family's 1533-position model. The record is from RNAcentral.